GAUGAAGAACGUAGCGAAAUGCGAUAAGUAAUGUGAAUUGCAGAAUUCAGUGAAUCAUCGAAUCUUUGAACGCACCUUGCACCCUUUGGCAUUCCGAAGGGUAUGCUCGUUUGAGUGUCAUUGUACUCUCACACUCUCCGAUCCUAUGGAUUCGGGGAGCGGUGGACUUGGGUGUUGUUGCCUUUCCCUGUGGCUCACCUCAAAUGCGUCAGUGCACCUCUUGGUUGGACAUAGUACGGCGUGAUAAGUGUCUUCGCCGGCACCUCGCAAGAGGGUGGCCGAUCGGGAGCUCUGCGCUUUCAAACCGUCUUCGGACAAUUUCUGACAUCUUGACCUCAAAUCGAGUAGGACUACCCGCUGAACUUAAGCAUAUCAAUAAGCGGAGGA
Molecule: unclassified non-coding RNA, 387 nt
Filed under: soil metagenome
Description: partial contains 5.8S ribosomal RNA, internal transcribed spacer 2, and large subunit ribosomal RNA
Rfam family: 5.8S ribosomal RNA (bases 1-120)
Source: RNAcentral